UUCCAUAUCUUUAACACCCCACUCAAAUUAAUGCUGCUAAAGGCAUCAAUUUGCAAUCUUGAACUGAGACAGUGACAAUACUUGUGUCCACGAAGAAGAAAUCUAAAUCAGAGCAAUCAAGUGAUCAACUAUAAAAACUAGUGACGACGAGAGAUCAAGAACAACAAAAUAGUGCAGAAAAAACUAAGAACAAUUCUAAAGCCACUCCAAGAACACUCAAGAGAGCUUACUUCCCAAGAAAAAUUUCCAAAAGAAAUUCACGAAGUGUGCCGACACACACAAUGAGUUCUAUCUGUCGGGAGAACUUAGCCGAACACAUAAUUCGUGUUUCGACAAAAGUUCUAAUGCCAAUAUACCGACCAAGAUUCCAACAAUAUAUUGCUUGCCAAGAUGCUGUAUUUGGGAGAAAUCCUACAAAAUAGCCUACACCACAAAAACUCAAAGAUAAUCCUCCUUCGAGAAUCCAAAACUCUUGCUCAUACCCGAGCAACCAAAAUUCAACGGUCUGCACUACCAUGUCUCUCACAUCUCUACUAUACACACGAAGCACUGUAGAAAGGGAAAAAGAUUAGUCAAAGCCUAAUCAACGCAUAAUCUUGAUAAAGCCCACUCAUCGAACAACAAUAAGCUUUAAAUUUUGAAAUAAUCCAAGAAAACAACAAUCUACUAUUACGACCACCCGAUUUGAAGCACCAACACCACCAAGAAGGGCUUCAGAAAAUUUUCUUUCGAUAGUCUCCUUGUAACCAGUAUGUACCUUGUCGUCCAACUAUAAGAAAAAGUGAACACAAGUGCAGGCAGACCACACAUUUGGACUUGCUGAUUCACUCCAGCCCUAUCGACUGCAACAAAAAAAACUCUAAUUGAAGGUACAGUAAAUGCAUUACAGCAUCAAAGUUCAGCAGCUAUAUGUUCAGAAGCAAGAGAUGAUCUCUGGACCCAAAUCUGGCCCAAAUCCACAAAUAAUUCAACAUAGGGCAGCUAAAUAUGCCCACAAAAGGUAGCCCAUGAGAACAAUCCAAUAACCCCAAACCAUAUAACAAUCCAAAUCAGCAGCCCACCCAAAAUAACUUUCUCAAAGAUAGCCCAUUAAUGAAAGCACACGACAAAUAUAUCCCUAGGUCCAAUAACCCAAACCCAAUCAAUAACCCAAUCCAACUCCUCAAUCUUCUCCACUCAAGCAGUGGUGGUCGCCACCUCUUUAGAGGUGUUUUAAAUUUAAGCAUGAGGUAACUAACUAAUGCAUGAUGUAUUUUAAAUUUAAGCAUGAG
RNAcentral lists this long non-coding RNA (1271 nucleotides) under Olea europaea subsp. europaea. The record is from RNAcentral. Lineage: Eukaryota; Viridiplantae; Streptophyta; Magnoliopsida; Lamiales; Oleaceae.